CGCGUCUAAUUUAAACGAUUACCCUGAACGGUGGAUCACUCGGCUCGU
This 48-nucleotide ribosomal RNA is filed under the name Diabrotica barberi (northern corn rootworm). Its description in RNAcentral is "partial 5.8S ribosomal RNA". The record is from RNAcentral. RNAcentral also lists the same sequence under 1 other name. Lineage: Eukaryota; Metazoa; Arthropoda; Insecta; Coleoptera; Chrysomelidae.